CCGAUGGAGGGGGAUAACUACUGGAAACGGUAGCUAAUACCGCAUAACGUCGCAAGACCAAAGAGGGGGACCUUCGGGCCUCUUGCCAUCGGAUGUGCCCAGAUGGGAUUAGCUAGUAGGUGGGGUAACGGCUCACCUAGGCGACGAUCCCUGCUGGUCUGAGAGGAUGACCAGCCACACUGGAACUGAGACACGGUCCAG
This 201-nucleotide ribosomal RNA is filed under the name uncultured bacterium. RNAcentral describes it as "partial 16S ribosomal RNA". It matches the Rfam family "Bacterial small subunit ribosomal RNA", at positions 130 to 334 of the family's 1533-position model. The record is from RNAcentral.